CAGCCGCCGCGGUAAUACGGAGGGUGCAAGCGUUAAUCGGAAUUACUGGGCGUAAAGCGCACGCAGGCGGUUUGUUAAGUCAGAUGUGAAAUCCCCGGGCUCAACCUGGGAACUGCAUUUGAAACUGGCAAGCUAGAGUCUCGUAGAGGGGGGUAGAAUUCCAGGUGUAGCGGUGAAAUGCGUAGAGAUCUGGAGGAAUACCGGUGGCGAAGGCGGCCCCCUGGACGAAGACUGACGCUCAGGUGCGAAAGCGUGGGGAGCAAACAGGAUUAGAGACCCCAGUAGUCCCUGUCUCUUAUAC
Molecule: ribosomal RNA, 301 nt
Filed under: uncultured bacterium
Lineage: Bacteria
Description: partial 16S ribosomal RNA
Rfam family: Bacterial small subunit ribosomal RNA
Source: RNAcentral